GGAAGGGCUGUAGCUCAGCUGGUAGAGCACCUGCUUUGUACGAAGAAGGUCCCAGGUUCAAGUCCCAUCAUUUCCA
Molecule: non-coding RNA, 76 nt
Organism: Podarcis lilfordi (Lilford's wall lizard)
Lineage: Eukaryota; Metazoa; Chordata; Lepidosauria; Squamata; Lacertidae
Source: the annotation of a GenBank genome assembly